CCUACGGGAGGCAGCAGUAGGGAAUAUUGCGCAAUGGGCGAAAGCCUGACGCAGCAACGCCGCGUGGAGGAGGAAGGCUUUAGGGUUGUAAACUCCUUUUGUGGGGGAGGAAAAUGACGGUAUCCCACGACUAAGCACCGGCUAACUCCGUGCCAGCAGCCGCGGUAAUACGGAGGGUGCAAGCGUUAUCCGGAAUCACUGGGCGUAAAGAGUUCGCAGGCGGGAUGUUAAGUCAGGUGUGAAAGCCGCAGGCUUAACCAGGGUAGUGCACUUGAUACUUGGAAGCUGGAGUGUGGGAGAGGUAAGGGGAAUUCCUGGUGUAGCGGUGAAAUGCGUAGAUAUCAGGAGGAAUACCGGUGGCGUAAGCGCUCUACUGGGCCAUAAUUGACGCUCAGGAACGAAAGCGUGGGGAGCAAACGGGAUUAGAUACCCCUGUAGUC
RNAcentral lists this ribosomal RNA (440 nucleotides) under uncultured bacterium. Its description in RNAcentral is "partial 16S ribosomal RNA". It matches the Rfam family "Bacterial small subunit ribosomal RNA", at positions 338 to 795 of the family's 1533-position model. The record is from RNAcentral.